GACCCCAUCAUAUUUUUUAACAAGGAAACCCUAAUAUAUUUUGUCAUUCUCACUUCUCUAAUUUAGAGAAGCCAACAACCGCCUAUACCCAUCUCUCUCUUCUUUGAGAGCAAACAACCGCCCCACCAUGCCGCCGCCAGAUUUGAUCAUCGGCCGGUGACUGUUGUUCCAUGCUCCUCAUCUCUUCUUAUCUCCUAAGAUAACACAGAUUUGAGGAAAAGAAAGGAGGGAGAGUUAUCGAAAUAUGGCGUAAAAGACGCAUCUCCGACAACCUCCAUGGAAAUCGGUGAUGCUUAUGCUUCUUAGUUCUUUUUCUCUCUUUAUUUCUCAUAUAUGUGUGUUACCAUAUUUGAAAACGGGUUGAAGUUACACAAAUUUUAAAUCAGGCCGAUGAGAAUAAAAUUUUUGAGGCCUUAGUCAUGAUGAGUUUUGACUGAUAAAGGACAAGAUACUACACUCUCGGAUCCGGAACCAAAUAUAUUUAUGAGACGAUGACGAAAGCCAAAGGAAAAAAUAAAAGACGAGAAUGUAAAUGUCUGUGCUUUAAGAGGCAACACGGUUGGCCACCAGAGUUGCUACCAAGUCAGCGUUCGCAUUCUAAUGUCUUAUUGCUAUAUGGUAUACACCAUCCAAGCCUCCAACAAUAUUUUCUAAAUCAUUUUCAAGAGAGUAUCUUUCUAUAUUAUUUUAAAACUAUUUUUCCAAAAACAAUUCACCAAAAAAUAUUUUUUUCAAGUAAUCUUUCGAGAACAAAAAAAAACACUUUCAAAUCAUUUUCAAGAGCAAUUUUUCAAAACAAUUCAUUUUUAAAACAAAAACCAUUUAAAAAAUAUGUCACUUUAUUAGCUAUCUUUUACGUUAUAUUACUUCGCUAACAAUUUUACUUCUCUUAUCUUGUGAGGCACUAUCAUACGAAGUCGCUUUCAGAAGACGGCAUUUGGAGAAAGAUUGAAGACAAUCCCCGUCAAGCUCCCCGCUUAGCACUUCCUAUUAUAGGAUGUAUCCAAAAAAUCGAAAAGUAUAGUACAAUUGUAGAUAGAUAUUGUGCUUGCUUGCUUUGAUAUUAUCUAUUUUCUAAACAGUGAGGGUGAGUUGCAUAUAGUUAAAUAACUGAGUUAACUUGCAAUAUGGUACAUUAGAAGGUUCAUGGACUUGCUGAAUUAAUUGGGAUUGAUAUUAUAUGAUUAAUUAAGUUAGUUGUAUACAUAAAAAUGAAAGGCUUCUCAUUCCCUUUUCAAAAUACAUA
RNAcentral lists this long non-coding RNA (1246 nucleotides) under Nicotiana tabacum (common tobacco). Its description in RNAcentral is "long non-coding RNA (NTAB_LNC002209)". Lineage: Eukaryota; Viridiplantae; Streptophyta; Magnoliopsida; Solanales; Solanaceae. The record is from RNAcentral.